GUGGAUCGGAGAGCUGCUCUCUCCCCCAGACUAGGUCAUCAUUAGACCGAACUGGGUAAACAAAUAUCUUGUGUUCUUUCUCUCUCUCUCUCCUUUUAUCUCUUGCUGGUUUUGUUUGGAUUAAUUGCUACCCGCUUGUUUUGAUUACUUGAUAUUAAUUUGCUCCACACAUCAAGUUUUUAUUGGUGUGGUUUUCUCAACGAAUUCACAACAU
Molecule: long non-coding RNA, 214 nt
Filed under: Medicago truncatula (barrel medic)
Lineage: Eukaryota; Viridiplantae; Streptophyta; Magnoliopsida; Fabales; Fabaceae
Description: long non-coding RNA (MTRU_LNC002712)
Source: RNAcentral